AUUGAACGCUGGCGGCAUGCCUUACACAUGCAAGUCGAACGGUAGAGGGGGCAACCCCUUGAGAGUGGCGAACGGGUGAGUAAUGCAUCGGAACGUGCCCAGUAGUGGGGGAUAGCCCGGCGAAAGCCGGAUUAAUACCGCAUACGACCUAUGGGUGAAAGCGGGGGACCUUCGGGCCUCGCGCUAUUGGAGCGGCCGAUGUCAGAUUAGCUAGUUGGUGGGGUAAAGGCCCACCAAGGCGACGAUCUGUAGCUGGUCUGAGAGGACGACCAGCCACACUGGGACUGAGACACGGCCCAGACUCCUACGGGAGGCAGCAGUGGGGAAUUUUGGACAAUGGACGAAAGUCUGAUCCAGCCAUGCCGCGUGCGGGAAGAAGGCCUUCGGGUUGUAAACCGCUUUUGUCAGGGAAGAAAUCUUCUGGGCGAAUAACCUGGGAGGAUGACGGUACCUGAAGAAUAAGCACCGGCUAACUACGUGCCAGCCGCCGCAGUAA
RNAcentral lists this ribosomal RNA (496 nucleotides) under uncultured bacterium. RNAcentral describes it as "partial 16S ribosomal RNA". It matches the Rfam family "Bacterial small subunit ribosomal RNA", at positions 29 to 523 of the family's 1533-position model. The record is from RNAcentral.